AAACGGUUGCUAAUACCGCAUAAUGCAGCGGCACCUAAUGGUGACAGUUGUUAAAGCGGGGGAUCGAAAGACCUCGCGUCUGAAAAGGAGCCUGCGGCGGAUUAGCUAGUUGGUAGGGUAAUGGCUUACCAAGGCUACGAUCCGUAGCCGGCCUGAGAGGGCGGUCGGCCACACUGACACUGACAUACGGGUCAGACUCCUACGGGAGGCAGCAGUCGGGAAUUUUGGGCAAUGGGCGAAAGCCUGACCCAGCAACGCCGCGUGAAGGAUGAAAUCCCUCGGGAUGUAAACUUCGCAAGAACGGGAAGAAUAAGUAGGGGACAAUAACCCCUAUGAUGACGGUACCGUUUGUAAGCUCCGGCUAACUCCGUGCCAACAC
RNAcentral lists this ribosomal RNA (379 nucleotides) under uncultured bacterium. Its description in RNAcentral is "bacterial SSU rRNA". It matches the Rfam family "Bacterial small subunit ribosomal RNA", at positions 154 to 514 of the family's 1533-position model. The record is from RNAcentral.